AUCUUCAUAGCUCAGAGGUUAAAGCACUGGUCUUGUAAACCAGAGGUCGAGAGUGCAAAUCUCUCUGGGGGAG
Lasius niger is the source of this 73-nucleotide transfer RNA. It matches the Rfam family "tRNA". From Rfam's summary of the family: Transfer RNA (tRNA) molecules are approximately 80 nucleotides in length. Their secondary structure includes four short double-helical elements and three loops (D, anti-codon, and T loops). NCBI's taxonomy places the organism in Eukaryota, Metazoa, Arthropoda, Insecta, Hymenoptera, Formicidae. The record is from Rfam.